RNAcentral lists this ribosomal RNA (299 nucleotides) under uncultured bacterium. Its description in RNAcentral is "partial 16S ribosomal RNA". It matches the Rfam family "Bacterial small subunit ribosomal RNA", at positions 524 to 813 of the family's 1533-position model. The record is from RNAcentral.
UACGGAGGGUGCGAGCGUUGUCCGGAAUCACUGGGCGUAAAGGGCGCGUAGGCGGUGCGAGAAGCGUGUGGUGAAAGGCCGGGGGCUCAACCCCCGGCUCGGCCGUGCGGACUCUCGCCGCUUGGUGAGUGCUGUAGAGGCGGGCGGAAUUCCGGGUGUAGCGGUGGAAUGCGUAGAGAUCCGGAAGAACACCGGUGGCGAAAGGCGGCCCGCUGGGCAGUGACUGACGCUGAGGCGCGACAGCGUGGGGGAGCGAACGGGAUAUGAGACCCGUACCGGUCCAGAUCCAAGUCCAUCUC